CAUCUGAAAAAAGCUGGGAAGCUCACUAGGAGGGUAAAGUUGAGCAAAGACUAAAGGAACAAGCCAUGUGGACUUGUGGGGGAGAACCUUCAGCCAGGAAGGAAUGACCAGUGC
Molecule: non-coding RNA, 114 nt
Organism: Ceratotherium simum simum (southern white rhinoceros)
Lineage: Eukaryota; Metazoa; Chordata; Mammalia; Perissodactyla; Rhinocerotidae
Source: RefSeq, a predicted model, not a curated record